ACGGCUACCUUCACUGCCACC
Molecule: microRNA, 21 nt
Filed under: Caenorhabditis brenneri
Lineage: Eukaryota; Metazoa; Nematoda; Chromadorea; Rhabditida; Rhabditidae
Description: cbn-miR-34
Gene: cbn-miR-34
Source: miRBase by way of RNAcentral